GGAGUUAGCCGGUGCUUCUUCUGUGAGUGAUGUCCUUCCUGCCGGCUAUUAACCCGCAGGCCUUCUUCCUCACUGAAAGUGCUUUACAACCCGAAGGCCUUCUUCACACACGCGGCAUGGCUGGAUCAGGGUUGCCCCCAUUGUCCAAUAUUCCCCACUGCUGCCUCCCGUAGGAGUCUGGGCCGUGUCUCAGUCCCAGUGUGGCUGAUCAUCCUCUCAGACCAGCUACGGAUCGUCGCCUUGGUGAGCCGUUACCUCACCAACCAGAUAAUCCGACAUAGGCUCAUCCGAUAGCGCGAGGCCCGAAGGUCCCCCGCUUUCCCCCGUAGGGCGUAUGCGGUAUUAGCCUGGGUUUCCCCAGGUUAUCCCCCACUACCGGGCAGAUUCCUAUGCAUUACUCACCCGUCCGCCGCUCGCCACCAGGGAGCAAGCUCCCCGUGCUGCCGCUCGACUUGCAUGUGUUAGGCCUGCCGCCAGCGUUCAAUCUGAGCCAGGAUCAAACUCUGA
Molecule: ribosomal RNA, 507 nt
Filed under: uncultured bacterium
Lineage: Bacteria
Description: partial 16S ribosomal RNA
Source: RNAcentral